AUGCCGCACAACCAGUUGCCUACGGUCCAUGUCAUGCCAAAGUUUUCCGGGCUUUCCUUCCAUCCGCAUCGCCAGUUUUCCAGAGCCCGAAAGCCCCGGAGCCACGUGGGACCGCCCCUUGUGGGUGGGGAAAGGGGAGGAGCUAGUGUCCUGGAGUCAGUGGGCAGGAUACUCAUGAGGAUAAGAGAAGAAUGUGGAGGCCCCUGGAUACACAGAAGGACGCCAUUUCUUAUUGGACUCAGCUUUUCUCCAGGGAGCUCUUCUGUUGAAUUUUCUUUUCAGCAUUGGGUCCACCAGGGGGCAGAUGAAGAAAGGGCCUGGAGAUUUGACCAUGUCAUUGAGCACAGAGCUCCUCACUUUCAGACGUGACCUAACUGGCACUGCUCCUACCCAAGCUGCGAUCACACGGCUAAAUAGGUCUGGCCAGUACAUCAUGACCAUGCCAUGUCUCAUGCUUCAGAUUCCAUUCUCAGCUCCCUAAAGGGCCAGCAGAGUCUGGCGCUGGGACCCUGGCAGGAGCAUGCUAGCAAAAUUCAGGAUUUCUUUAGCCAAGGAAUGGCAGACUGCCAACCUGCAUAAGCAGUAACUUUACAACUGAAACGGAUGUAAAAAACCUGAGAAAGAGAAAAUGGAAGGACAUCCCAGAGAAAAGUGUUUUGUUUUGUUUUUUUUUUUAAGGAAAUAAGGACAGAAAAAUAAGAAAUAAAAUGUCUACAGCAGAGUCUUGUGUCUAUAACUCUCCCUCAAGCUGUGGUUGGAAAAGAACUUUCUGAAAAAGGUGUUCACCUCUGUAAUGAACGUGCUCACUCUGACAGCACUUUUGGUUGACCUGAGUGCACACGGCUGUGCGGCUGACCUUGUUCCGCCAGUGUCCUGACCUCAGCAGCCCUUACUGCUCAGGCAGGAAUGGACUCAGCAGAUGGUACCUGGCAGACAUGCCUCCCAGGUGAUGCAGGAACCUUCUUCAUAGAACCUACUCUAGAACGAAACCUCUGGCUGCUCCCCUGCACCUCACAGGCCAGCUGUCUCACCCCUCGUCAUUGAGCAUAAAGAUCAUUAUCACCCAGGCCACAAACAUGCCGUUUGUUUCCUGGGCUUAGAGAAUCAGGGAAGGCUUCUAAGGGAAGUGCCGUCUCCAAUCCUGUGGGAGCAGCCAGGCCAGGGUGAGAGUGCUCUGGGGAGGGAGGCCAGCUCUUCUGCAGUGAGCAAAAGUAGGAUGCACUUUGGGAACUGGAAUAACAAGUUAGGCAAGUGGCAAGAAAUUAGACCAGGUUCCCCACUCCUCAAAGUGUAGCACGAAGACCGGCAGCACUGGUGUUCCCGGGAAGCUUGUUAGAAAUGCCGAAUUGCUGAUUUAUUGAAUCAGAAUCUUCAUGUCAAGAUCCCCAGGUGGCUGGGCAAGGUGGUUCAUGCCUGUAAUCCUAGUACUUUAGGAGGCUGAGGCUGGAGUCGCGCCUGAACUCAGGGGUUUGAGACUAGCCUGG
This 1484-nucleotide long non-coding RNA is filed under the name Rhinopithecus bieti (black snub-nosed monkey). RNAcentral describes it as "lncRNA (ENSRBIG00000045063.1)". The record is from RNAcentral. Lineage: Eukaryota; Metazoa; Chordata; Mammalia; Primates; Cercopithecidae.